Molecule: ribosomal RNA, 544 nt
Filed under: uncultured Alphaproteobacteria bacterium
Lineage: Bacteria; Pseudomonadati; Pseudomonadota; Alphaproteobacteria
Description: SSU rRNA
Rfam family: Bacterial small subunit ribosomal RNA
Source: RNAcentral
AGUUGGGAAUCUUGGACAAUGGGGGAAACCAUGAUCCAGCCAUGGCGCGUGAGUGAUGAAGGCCUUCGGGUUGUAAAGCUCUUUUACCCGGGAAGAUAAUGACUGUACCGGGAGAAUAAGCUCCGGCUAACUUCGUGCCAGCAGCCGCGGUAAUACGAAGGGGGCUAGCGUUGUUCGGAAUUACUGGGCGUAAAGCGCGCGCAGGCGGUUUCUCAAGUCAGUGGUGAAAGCCCGGAGCUCAACUCCGGAACUGCCAUUGAAACUGUGAAACUUGAGGACGAGAGAGGUGAGUGGAAUUCCCAGUGUAGAGGUGAAAUUCGUAGAUAUUGGGAAGAACACCGGUGGCGAAGGCGGCUCACUGGCUCGUUUCUGACGCUCAGGCGCGACAGCGUGGGGAUCAAACAGGAUUAGAUACCCUGGUAGUCCACGCCGUAAACGAUGAACGCUAGCCGUUGGGUAGCUUGCUAUUCAGUGGCGCAGCUAACGCAUUAAGCGUUCCGCCUGGGGAGUACGGCCGCAAGGUUGAAACUCAAAGGAAUUGACG